This 253-nucleotide ribosomal RNA is filed under the name uncultured bacterium. RNAcentral's name for it is "partial 16S ribosomal RNA". It matches the Rfam family "Bacterial small subunit ribosomal RNA", at positions 524 to 776 of the family's 1533-position model. The record is from RNAcentral.
UACGAAGGGGGCUAGCGUUGCUCGGAAUCACUGGGCGUAAAGCGCACGUAGGCGGUUCGUUAAGUCGGGGGUGAAAUCCUGGAGCUCAACUCCAGAACUGCCUUCGAUACUGGCGCUCUUGAGUCUGGGAGAGGUGAGUGGAACUCCGAGUGUAGAGGUGAAAUUCGUAGAUAUUCGGAAGAACACCAGUGGCGAAGGCGGCUCACUGGCCCGGUACUGACGCUGAGGUGCGAAAGCGUGGGGAGCAAACAGG